UACUGCACCAUUCUGGCCAUUGCUGU
Molecule: non-coding RNA, 26 nt
Filed under: Mus musculus (house mouse)
Lineage: Eukaryota; Metazoa; Chordata; Mammalia; Rodentia; Muridae
Source: RNAcentral